GUGGAUUAGAUACCCUGGUAGUCCACGCCCUAAACGAUGUCAACUAGGUGUUGGAAGGGUUAAACCUUUUAGUGCCGUAGCUAACGCGUGAAGUUGACCGCCUGGGGAGUACGGCCGCAAGGCUAAAACUCAAAGGAAUUGACGGGGACCCGCACAAGCGGUGGAUGAUGUGGAUUAAUUCGAUGCAACGCGAAAAACCUUACCUACCCUUGACAUGUCAGGAAUCCCGGAGAGAUUUGGGAGUGCUCGAAAGAGAGCCUGAACACAGGUGCUGCACGGUCGUCGUCAACU
This 291-nucleotide ribosomal RNA is filed under the name uncultured bacterium. RNAcentral describes it as "partial 16S ribosomal RNA". It matches the Rfam family "Bacterial small subunit ribosomal RNA", at positions 773 to 1060 of the family's 1533-position model. The record is from RNAcentral.